RNAcentral lists this ribosomal RNA (707 nucleotides) under uncultured bacterium. RNAcentral's name for it is "bacterial SSU rRNA". It matches the Rfam family "Bacterial small subunit ribosomal RNA", at positions 68 to 806 of the family's 1533-position model. The record is from RNAcentral.
AGAAAGGGGACUUUCGGUCCUGAGUAUAGUGGCGCACGGGUGAGUAACACGUGAAUAAUCUACCUCCGAGUGGGGAAUAACUGAGAGAAAUCUUAGCUAAUACCGCAUAACACUUACGAGUCAAAGCAGCAAUGCGCUUGGAGAGGAGUUCGCGGCCGAUUAGUUAGUUGGCGGGGUAAUGGCCCACCAAGACGAUGAUCGGUAUCCGGCCUGAGAGGGCGCACGGACACACUGGAACUGAAACACGGUCCAGACUCCUACGGGAGGCAGCAGUGGGGAAUUUUGCGCAAUGGGGGAAACCCUGACGCAGCAACGCCGCGUGGAGGAUGAAGUCCCUUGGGACGUAAACUCCUUUCGAUCGGGACGAUUAUGACGGUACCGGAAGAAGAAGCCCCGGCUAACUUCGUGCCAGCAGCCGCGGUAAUACGAGGGGGGCGAGCGUUGUUCGGAAUUAUUGGGCGUAAAGGGCGCGUAGGCGGUCGGAUAAGUCUCGUGUGAAAUCUUCGGGCUCAACUCGAAGUCUGCACGAGAAACUGUCCGGCUUGAGUGUGGGAGAGGUGAGUGGAAUUCCUGGUGUAGCGGUGAAAUGCGUAGAUAUCAGGAGGAACACCUGUGGCGAAAGCGGCUCACUGGACCACAACUGACGCUGAGGCGCGAAAGCUAGGGGAGCAAACAGGAUUAGAUACCCUGGUAGUCCUAGCCCUAAA